RNAcentral lists this long non-coding RNA (758 nucleotides) under Equus caballus (horse). RNAcentral's name for it is "lncRNA (ENSECAG00000053546.1)". Lineage: Eukaryota; Metazoa; Chordata; Mammalia; Perissodactyla; Equidae. The record is from RNAcentral.
GGUUGAGGGGCGUGGUCUCGAGGCGGCAGGUGAGCGCGGCCUCCUGGGGCUGAGGACGGCUGCCCGCGCUGCCCUCCUGGGCGCCUCCGCCCCGUAACUAUCAGAGCAGGCAGCCAGCACCCACCCGGCCUGCAUCCCAAAGAUGAUCAUCACCACCUAAGCGAGGGGUUUUUACGCGGACUUGAGUUUUCAACUCCUUUGGGUAAAGAUACAAUUGCUGAGCCAUAUGUUGAAUAACAGAUAUGCAGUGACCAGUCACCAACAGACUUUGAGAAGAGUGAUGUGAAUGGCCAUGGAUCAUGAUGUACAUCUGCUAUUUCUGUAAUUAUUUGUGUGCUGAAGAGCAAGCAGUGAAGAUUGAAGUUAAUGUAAAUUUUCUAUAUAUGAAAAUAUAAAGAAAUUUCCAGACGUUGGAUUCCUACAAACUUUGCUGCAACAUAUCCUUUCUACGGUCUUAAAAACUAUUUCACAAGCCUGUAAGUGAAGACCAGGGGCCACAGAGGCAAUGAAAACUUAUUCUAAGUGUGACACUUUCAACUCCCCUUACUCUACAACAAGCUCCAUCUUUGACCAGCACUAAGAGGAGGCUUGAGAGUCUACAGAAGAUUGAAACCAUCCACUUGGUACCAGUGGGAACCAGAGAACUCUAACAUACAGGUUGAGGAAUUAAUGAGGGAAGCAAAGGUAACAAAUACAUAGAGACAAACAAAAAAAAAGAUGAAGGAGAAAGAGAAUGAUGAGGAGGAGGAGGAGAGUGG